CCUACGGGACGCACCAGUGGGGAAUAUUGCACAAUGGGCGCAAGCCUGAUGCAGCCAUGCCGCGUGUAUGAAGAAGACCUUCGGGUUGUAAAGUACUUUCAGCGGGGAGGAAGGCGAUAAGGUUAAUAACCUUGUCGAUUGACGUUACCCGCAGAAGAAGCACCGGCCAACUCCGUGCCAGCAGCCGCGGUAAUACGGAGGGUGCAAGCGUUAAUCGGAAUUACUGGGCAUAAAGCGCACGCAGGCGGUCUGUCAAGUCGGAUGUGAAAUCCCCGGGCUCAACCUGGGGACUGCAUUCGAAACUGGCAGGCUAGAGUCUCGUAGAGGGGGGUAGAAUUCCAGGUGUAGCGGCGAAAUGCGUAGAGAUCUGGAGGAAUACCGGUGGCGAAGGCGGCCCCCUGGACAAAGACUGACGCUCAGGUGCGAAAGCGUGGGGAGCAAACAGGAUUAGAUACCCGAGUAGUC
RNAcentral lists this ribosomal RNA (465 nucleotides) under uncultured bacterium. RNAcentral's name for it is "bacterial SSU rRNA". It matches the Rfam family "Bacterial small subunit ribosomal RNA", at positions 338 to 795 of the family's 1533-position model. The record is from RNAcentral.